This is a long non-coding RNA of Eriocheir sinensis (Chinese mitten crab), 1726 nucleotides long. RefSeq lists it as uncharacterized. The transcript has 3 exons. NCBI's taxonomy places the organism in Eukaryota, Metazoa, Arthropoda, Malacostraca, Decapoda, Varunidae. The record is from RefSeq and is a predicted model, not a curated record.
UUAUUAUUAUUUUUCUUUCUCCAGCGGAUGUGAGGGCCCUCUGACGAGCUUCUGUUGGAGUCAUUAACUAAAAUUACGAUGGGUGUUGGCGGUCACCUGAGGCUGGGACGACCGAGGGAAGGCCAGGUGUGACUCUUAUUGUGGGCAGCGGCAGUUCGUGUCUUUGGUAAUACAUGAGAUCAUACACCGACCACUUGUAUUAGACAACGCCUGCACAGAGAACACAGGAAGGUAGAUGCAGAGGAACCACAAAGAACGCAGGAAAGUAGACGAUGAAGAUGGAAGAUGGUAUGUCCGAGGCCUCAACACCUGCGAGAGAACAGCAGCGGAACAAUGAGGAUGCUGGACAGUAGAUGAUGAAGAACAAAUAACGGAAAAUAGAUGAAGAUGGAACGUCCAAGGCCUUGACACCUGCGAGAGAAUGAGGAUGCUGAAAAAUAGAUGAAGAAGAAGCACAGAAUGAAUGCAGGAAGGUAGAUGAUGAUGAACAAGAACAUCGGAAAAUAUAUGAAGAUGGAAUGUCUGAGGCCUCAACACCUGGGAGAGAACGGCAGCAGAACAAUGAGGAUGCUGGAGAACAGAUGAUGAAGAAGCAGAGAAUGAAUGCAGGAAGGUAGAUGAUGAUGAACAAAGAGUGUUGGAGAAUAGAUGAAGAUGGAACGUCUGAGGCCUCAACACCUGCAAGAGAACAGGGUCAAUAUUCUCAGACUCUUCCGCCUCACAGAGCGACUAUUUUCAAAGGCCGAAAAGGAGAUUAAGCAGCAGUAGUUGUAGAAGUUUGCGUUAGUGGUGAAGGACAAAGAAGAUAGGAAGAGGAGGAGGAGGGGCAUAGUAGUAGAAGUUUGCAUUAGAGGUGAAGGAUAAAGAAGAUAGGAAGAGAAGGAGACGCAACAGUAGUAGAUUAAGCGAAGUCUGAUGAAUGUUUUCUUUCUUUCAUGGCACAGAAGAAUGAUCAAACUACCAUCAUGGCCAUAAAACUACCCCUGGAAACGCCUACAACCCUGAUGAAAGCCUUGUCAAAUGUGUGUGCGCUUAGGCACCGAAAUGUUUGAGAAUGAAAUUAUGACCCCAGCAUCAGAACGAGAGGUCUUGGCGUGCAGCGGGCCAGCAAGGUUACCAGGGCACAGGAUCCACUCGGCCUGCAUGACGAGGUGAGAGAAUUAGUUUGUGGUGUUCCGUCGUAUUAAUUUUGUUUGCCAGUUUGCUCGCCAGUCCAAUUUGCUCUUGGGAAAAACUAGUCUGGAAAAUUAGAGAUACGAGCAGUGAUGGGAUUCAAAUUUUUUAAGAACAGGUUCUCUCUAUGAGGGGUUUACCAAAAUAAGUUCUUAGUAAAAGGUGUUCAUGGGGGAAAAAUUGAGAACCCCUGAUUUAAGCUCACAGUAACAACCGGUUCUCGGGAUUAAAGAAAUUCCAAGAACAGAUUCUUGCAAACCGGUGCGAACCAGCUGAAUCCCAUCACUGGAUACGAGUCAUAAAACUAGCCAUUGCCAAAAUUAAAGAUUCGAGGAAAAGUUGGAGAUUAAAUUACAGUAACUACCUGUUGCUUAAAAUAGAGAUUAACACAGCUGCUCCUCAUCAGUAGGGUGGAGCAAUUUUUAGUAAGUUCAGGGGCCCAGUGAAAACUUGCACAAGUGAAUUAAGAUUGGUGUCUGGUUGCAUCCUCUUUUAACCACCCUCUCUCUCUCUCUCUCUCUCAUUAUUUUUUUUCUUUUCGUUGUUAGUCAUU